Molecule: long non-coding RNA, 382 nt
Filed under: Salvator merianae (Argentine black and white tegu)
Lineage: Eukaryota; Metazoa; Chordata; Lepidosauria; Squamata; Teiidae
Description: lncRNA (ENSSMRG00000008908.1)
Source: RNAcentral
AUGUUGAUUUGGUCUUGCCCUGAAGAUGGCAGCACCUCCAGAGAGAAUGAAGAAAGGGUGAGCUGUGGAGCCUGCUNUUCCAGUGAGGAAGUGGUCUUCAAUAAAAGCAAUUCGCAGCUUUGUUGCCCCCAUCCCACUUGCCGCAGUGGGCCCCAGUCUCCUCUGCGUUUGAUGGGCCACUUCGCAGAAGGCACUUGCUGUAUGGAGGCGGGGAGGGAAAGGACCUUCUGCCUGUUUGUUCCCCUCUUCAAACGUCUGCUGCCAUCCGCGUCGUCUUGUCAAACACAUGUUUCUAAACUUGUGUUUGGAAAGUGCGAAGAAANAAAGAGUUAGAUCUGCCUUGGGAGAGUUAAGAAAAAUAAAUCCGUAUUUUAAAAAGACA